AGGGGAUAAUCUGUCCUCGGGUAAAGCUCAUCUCUCCAGAUUACAGCAAGGAUGGGAAUCUGAAGCCCACCACAUCCUUCUUUCCAAGUCAAAGAACGUAACACUGAGAGGGCUCUGAGCGCCAGCAUGUGCAGAGUCAGAACCUCCCACUGACAGCCAGAACGAGGAGCCACUCCCGAAGAGCUGCUCCUACUCAGGACCAAUGCCACGCUCCAGGAUUCCCCACCUCCCGUGGAACCAGUGGGAGCAUGUGGCAGGCCAGGAGCUGUGGAUCUUUAAAGGCUCUGGACUCAUGGCGAACACACAUCCCCAGAAAGAGCCCAGCUCCCACUCAGGCAUCACAGAUAUGUCUGCUAUUGCCUGAAAGCCCGUGGAGAAAUCCCACACCCCGGGGAUUUCUUAAACCUUCGAUUAACUGGGAUGCUAUCCUGUACUUCAAAGAAAGAGGAAUAUCCAAGUAACAACGCAAGCUCAUCCGCAGAACCAGGCCAGCUGCAGCUCUCAGGAGGUAGCCACACCCGGGCUAGUGCCACAGGCAGCUGCACCAAAGGUGUAUGAGCGGUCACAUGAUAACCUGAACGCUGAGGCCCAAGGACUGGCAGGUGCUCAGGUGUCGAAACCCCAGAAUCCCAUUACCAGGCUCUGUUCUCUGAAGGAACAGUCAAUCUUGAAGAUCUUCACUAAGCAGAGCAUCUGAGAUUUACUGGCCUGAAGACCCAGCAAACUAAGAGUUCAGCAAAACAGAACAGCCUCUCUGGAGGGCACCCGUGCCUCUGCCGGUGCUGGAGCCUGCGGGUCCCUCGUCUAUGAGCUUCCCCAGAAACUCUCCAAUCUCAUCCACGCAGCUGCCAGAAUGAAUGUUCAAAGACAAGAACCUGAGCACAGUGGCGGGGGGUUUCGCACGCCCCUGGGACUCGACCCCAAGCUUCUCCUUCUCAGCACUGCAGCCCAAGCCACCCUGCCCUUCCUCCCAAUGCCACUACUUGUCACUGCACCUUGGAUUCCAGGCCGGCCCUCCUGCUGCCCUCUCUGAAUGCCCGGCCUCAACCUAGCUCCUCCUCAUCCCACGAGACAUGGCUAAAACGUCACCUCACCCUGGAGGCCUCCCCCUGACCCCUAUGAGGGGACAGGUCCUUACAGCAGCCCAGGCUUCCUCUUGAUAAUGUGAAUGUUAAUUAAUUUAAUUAAGACUUUAAAUUACUCAUCUAAAAUCUGUCUUCCGUGCUACAACCACAAACUCCAAGAGGGCGGGGAUCAGGCUUUCCUUGUUCUCCUGCCCCGCUCCCACAGCACAGGGCCAGGAGAUGCUCCGUCGACACUGGCUGCAUUGAACUGAAAUCAUCUCCCCACCCCAGCGCUCUGCACCACACCCAGCACCAGGGCAGGUGCUCCACGAAGGGCUGCGUGAAUGACUCAACUGCAGCCCCAUAAGGAAGCUGGAUAGCACACCACGCAAGUUAAACGCUUCUUUACAACAUUAUGAAAGACGGACUUGGACUAUACUAAUGAACAUUCCUCAAACCUAGGAAGCUAGAUCUAAAAAGGACUACAAAUGCAAUAAUCACAUGUGAAAUCCGAGACCAAACUUCUUUUUUUUUUUUUUUUUUUCCCGAGAUGGAGUCUCAUUCUGUCAUCCAGGCUGGAGUACAGUGGCACGAUCUCGGCUCACUGCAACCUCCGCCUCCCAGUCUCAAGCGAUUCUCCUGCCUCAGCCUCCCGAGUAGCUAGAACUACAGGUGCAUGCCACCACGCCCAGCUAAUUUUUUGUAUUUUUAGUAGAGACGGGGUUUCACCAUGUUAGCCAGGGUGGUCUCAAACUCCUGACCUCGUGAUUCAUCCACAUCAACCUCCUUAAGUGCUCGGAUUACAGGCAUGAGCCACAGCGCCUGGCCCAAACAUUUUUAUAUGUCCACUUAAUAGUUGACUGACAGAAAUAAAUGGUAUGUUUUACACA
Molecule: non-coding RNA, 1954 nt
Filed under: Pongo abelii (Sumatran orangutan)
Lineage: Eukaryota; Metazoa; Chordata; Mammalia; Primates; Hominidae
Source: RNAcentral